GUACUUUGAGGAUGUACUUAGUAUAUACGGGUGAAUGUAUAAGUAAAAGUAAUAUCUCAAUAUUAUUAAAAUUCAUAGAAUAUGCAUGUUUUAUGUAAUGACUCACAUGGCUGGAAUAACUAAAAACUAAAAAUCAUAAAUCAUGAAUAAUAAAACUUACUACAUAAAUAUGGUGAGCCAUCACAUUUGAAGUCUAAAAAACUGAACUAUUAUCUGUCAUUCUUUU
This 226-nucleotide long non-coding RNA is filed under the name Capsicum annuum. Its description in RNAcentral is "long non-coding RNA (CANN_LNC008372)". The record is from RNAcentral. Lineage: Eukaryota; Viridiplantae; Streptophyta; Magnoliopsida; Solanales; Solanaceae.